Molecule: unclassified non-coding RNA, 713 nt
Filed under: Trichophyton equinum
Lineage: Eukaryota; Fungi; Ascomycota; Eurotiomycetes; Onygenales; Arthrodermataceae
Description: sequence contains 18S rRNA gene, ITS1, 5.8S rRNA gene, ITS2, 28S rRNA gene
Rfam family: 5.8S ribosomal RNA (bases 316-469)
Source: RNAcentral
UGGAAGUAAAAGUCGUAACAAGGUUUCCGUAGGUGAACCUGCGGAAGGAUCAUUAACGCGCAGGCCGGAGGCUGGCCCCCCAGGAUAGGGCCAAACGUCCGUCAGGGGUGAGCAGAUGUGCGCCGGCCGUACCGCCCCAUUCUUGUCUACCUUACUCGGUUGCCUCGGCGGGCCGCGCUCUCCCAGGAGAGCCGUUCGGCGAGCCUCUCUUUAUAGCGGCUCAACGCUGGACCGCGCCCGCCGGAGGACAGACGCAAAAAAAAAUUCUUUCAGAAGAGCUGUCAGUCUGAGCGUUAGCAAGCAAAAAUCAGUUAAAACUUUCAACAACGGAUCUCUUGGUUCCGGCAUCGAUGAAGAACGCAGCGAAAUGCGAUAAGUAAUGUGAAUUGCAGAAUUCCGUGAAUCAUCGAAUCUUUGAACGCACAUUGCGCCCCCUGGCAUUCCGGGGGGCAUGCCUGUUCGAGCGUCAUUUCAGCCCCUCAAGCCCGGCUUGUGUGAUGGACGACCGUCCGGCGCCCCCGUCUCUGGGGGUGCGGGACGCGCCCGAAAAGCAGUGGCCAGGCCGCGAUUCCGGCUUUCUAGGCGAAUGGGCAACAAACCAGCGCCUCCAGGACCGGCCGCCCUGGCCUCAAAAUCUGUUUUAUACUUAUCAGGUUGACCUCGGAUCAGGUAGGGAUACCCGCUGAACUUAAGCAUAUCAAUAAGCGGAGGAA